This 649-nucleotide ribosomal RNA is filed under the name Tolypothrix sp. HSN030. RNAcentral's name for it is "bacterial SSU rRNA". It matches the Rfam family "Bacterial small subunit ribosomal RNA", at positions 115 to 796 of the family's 1533-position model. Lineage: Bacteria; Bacillati; Cyanobacteriota; Cyanophyceae; Nostocales; Tolypothrichaceae. The record is from RNAcentral.
ACGCGUAGAAUCUGCCUUCAGGUUCGGGACAACCACUGGAAACGGUGGCUAAUACCGAAUGUGCAGCAAUGUGAAAAAUUUAUUGCCUGAAGAUGAGCUCGCGUCUGAUUAGCUAGUAGGUGUGGUAAGAGCGCACCUAGGCGACGAUCAGUAGCUGGUCUGAGAGGAUGAUCAGCCACACUGGGACUGAGACACGGCCCAGACUCCUACGGGAGGCAGCAGUGGGGAAUUUUCCGCAAUGGGCGAAAGCCUGACGGAGCAAUACCGCGUGAGGGAGGAAGGCUCUUGGGUUGUAAACCUCUUUUCUCAAGGAAGAAAAAAAUGACGGUACUUGAGGAAUAAGCAUCGGCUAACUCCGUGCCAGCAGCCGCGGUAAUACGGAGGAUGCAAGCGUUAUCCGGAAUGAUUGGGCGUAAAGCGUCCGCAGGUGGCUAUGUAAGUCUGCUGUUAAAGAGUCUGGCUCAACCAGAUAAAGGCAGUGGAAACUACAUGGCUAGAGUGCGUUCGGGGCAGAGGGAAUUCCUGGUGUAGCGGUGAAAUGCGUAGAGAUCAGGAAGAACACCGGUGGCGAAAGCGCUCUGCUAGGCCGCAACUGACACUGAGGGACGAAAGCUAGGGGAGCGAAAGGGAUUANAUACCCCUGUANUCA